GACAACCCGGAGACCGACGAGUGCAAAGUGUACGAAAACUAAGACCACUGUCCAAGUACGGGCUCGCGUAGGUGCAGAAAUAUAUACUCCUAUAAUGUAACGAAGCACACACAUUGACUGUCCCCGGGCAGAACUGCUAUACUAUAUAUACUGUGCUCGGAUUGGCUGCCCGUACGUUGUUCCCCUUCGACAGAGGAACGCAUGACUGUCGAAGAAGAAACACAGCUGCAGACACGGGCCAUUUUCUGUGAGGUGUAAUACUGAACUUU
This 269-nucleotide unclassified non-coding RNA is filed under the name Hevea brasiliensis (rubber tree). The record is from RNAcentral. Lineage: Eukaryota; Viridiplantae; Streptophyta; Magnoliopsida; Malpighiales; Euphorbiaceae.